This is a long non-coding RNA of Mus musculus (house mouse), 938 nucleotides long. RefSeq annotates it as predicted gene, 39438. The transcript is spliced from 3 exons. The record is from RefSeq and is a predicted model, not a curated record. NCBI's taxonomy places the organism in Eukaryota, Metazoa, Chordata, Mammalia, Rodentia, Muridae.
AUAGGGUCAAUCCUAAACCCAGGAGUGCCACACAGCCUGUGUCUGGCGAGAAGGAAGAGCUCUGAGAGAUGCAGGAUGAAGGCCAUCCGACCCCGCUGUCGUGGAGGCAGUGCUGUGACUGGUGUGUGGGUGUGGACCAAAGCACCCCGUCUGAAGGUGCACUGAGGGUAACCAUGUGGUGAUGGACAGCAGAUUGCUGUGAACCGGAGCACACAGGCUGGAAGGAGCUGCUGAAGCAUCUGCACGGAUACAGGCAGUGAAGGGAUGGAGCUGUAGGGUUGAGAGCCUGUGAAUCGCAUGGAGAUGGGAGGGCAGGCUGUGGGAGAUGCUACCACAGCUCACCCCUUCCUGCCCACUGCUCGCAGAAAGUUUCCAAUGCGUGUCUGCUGCUCCUGCCUGAAGGAGCCCUCUGACCACUGACACAGGCUUGGCCUUCUAUACAGAAAGACCAUGGUGGCAGCAGUUGGCUGGGAAAAUCUGCUCUCAAAACAGCCCAAAGCAUCCCGGCCGAAAGAUGGAGCAGCCCGUUCCACUGCUCUGGAGAGUCUAGGCCAACAAGUGAGAUGACAACAGCAGGAAAGAGACCGUGGAGCAGAGAUGUCUCCUCCUGUGAGCUUUUGCAGGAACCACUUCCCCCACCACUGGCCUCAUGUGAUAGGAAAAGAAAUUGGUGUCCUUCCCAGGCCAGCUGGAUCAAACGCUUCCUCAAUUCAAAACUUCAGUUUUCCCUUCAACGUCUACCACCUCCCCACAAAACCCACUCUGGAGAAAGUACACACAAAGCAGAGUUCAACCCGUCCCUUCAUAUGUACGAACAGCCCUUGCAACCACCACACUGAGACCGGAAGCGCACGACGUGGAUACAUGCGCACACCCCACCAAGCCUGAACUUCUUGGAACACAACUGUGGCCAUUGGAAUAGUCUCAGUAUUCUCUCU